Molecule: ribosomal RNA, 1497 nt
Filed under: uncultured bacterium
Lineage: Bacteria
Description: bacterial SSU rRNA
Rfam family: Bacterial small subunit ribosomal RNA
Source: RNAcentral
AGUUUGAUCCUGGCUCAGGACGAACGCUGGCGGCGCGCCUAACACAUGCAAGUCGAACGGAGCUGUUUUCUCUGAAGUUUUCGGAUGGAAGAGAGUUCAGCUUAGUGGCGAACGGGUGAGUAACACGUGAGCAACCUGCCUUUCAGUGGGGGACAACAUUUGGAAACGAAUGCUAAUACCGCAUAAGACCACAGUGUCGCAUGGCACAGGGGCCAAAGGAUUUAUCCGCUGAAAGAUGGGCUCGCGUCCGAUUAGCUAGAUGGUGAGGUAACGGCUCACCAUGGCGACGAUCGGUAGCCGGACUGAGAGGUUGAACGGCCACAUUGGGACUGAGACACGGCCCAGACUCCUACGGGAGGCAGCAGUGGGGAAUAUUGCACAAUGGGGGAAACCCUGAUGCAGCGACGCCGCGUGGAGGAAGAAGGUCUUCGGAUUGUAAACUCCUGUCCCAGGGGACGAUAAUGACGGUACCCUGGGAGGAAGCACCGGCUAACUACGUGCCAGCAGCCGCGGUAAAACGUAGGGUGCAAGCGUUGUCCGGAAUUACUGGGUGUAAAGGGAGCGCAGGCGGAUUGACAAGUUGGGAGUGAAAUCUAUGGGCUCAACCCAUAAAUUGCUUUCAAAACUGUCAGUCUUGAGUGGUGUAGAGGUAGGCGGAAUUCCCGGUGUAGCGGUGGAAUGCGUAGAUAUCGGGAGGAACACCAGUGGCGAAGGCUUUUUACUGGGCACUAACUGACGCUGAGGGCUCGAAAGCAUGGGUAGCAAAACAGGAUUAGAUACCCUGGUAGUCCAUGCCGUAAACGAUGAUUACUAGGUGUGGGAGGAUUGACCCCCUUCCGUGCCGCAGUUAACACAAUAAGUAAUCCACCUGGGGAGUACGACCGCAAGGUUGAAACUCAAAGGAAUUGACGGGGGCCCGCACAAGCAGUGGAGUAUGUGGUUUAAUUCGAAGCAACGCGAAGAACCUUACCUGGUCUUGACAUCCCAGUGACGCAUGAGUAAAGUCAUGUUUCCUUCGGGACACUGGAGACAGGUGGUGCAUGGUUGUCGUCAGCUCGUGUCGUGAGAUGUUGGGUUAAGUCCCGCAACGAGCGCAACCCCUAUUUCCAGUAGCCAGCAUGUAAAGAUGGGCACUCUGGAGAGACUGCCUGGGAUAACUAGGAGGAAGGCGGGGAUGACGUCAAAUCAUCAUGCCCCUUAUGAUCAGGGCUACACACGUGCUACAAUGGCGUAAACAAAGGGAAGCGAAGUGGUGACGCCAAGCAAAUCCCAAAAAUAACGUCCCAGUUCGGAUUGUAGUCUGCAACUCGACUACAUGAAGCUGGAAUCGCUAGUAAUCGCGAAUCAGAAUGUCGCGGUGAAUACGUUCCCGGGUCUUGUACACACCGCCCGUCACACCAUGGGAGUCGGAAAUGCCCGAAGUCAGUGACCUAACCGAAAGGGAGGAGCUGCCGAAGGUGGAGCCGGUAACUGGGGUGAAGUCGUAACAAGGUAACC